Molecule: long non-coding RNA, 239 nt
Organism: Ipomoea nil (Japanese morning glory)
Lineage: Eukaryota; Viridiplantae; Streptophyta; Magnoliopsida; Solanales; Convolvulaceae
Exons: 3
Source: RefSeq, a predicted model, not a curated record
CUUCAAAUGAGAUAAACUUCAAAGUACGGAGCAUCUUAUUUGUUUGAGCCGCAGCAUGAAGUUCCAACAAGGCGUCCAUACGUUCAGUAGCUACUGAAUUGAGCUAUAAACAAGCAUCAAAUACAGAGAAAAGAAAACUCAAUAAAAUCAACAUUUACACAAUUUUAUCCAGAAAUCCAAAACAAUAUGAAAAUGAACAAAUGAACUAUAUAUCAAUGAAUAUGAAGAUUACCCCAAAU